Molecule: transfer RNA, 73 nt
Filed under: Trichonephila inaurata madagascariensis
Lineage: Eukaryota; Metazoa; Arthropoda; Arachnida; Araneae; Nephilidae
Rfam family: tRNA
About the family: Transfer RNA (tRNA) molecules are approximately 80 nucleotides in length. Their secondary structure includes four short double-helical elements and three loops (D, anti-codon, and T loops).
Source: Rfam by way of RNAcentral
GUCCCUGUUGCGCAAUGGAUAGCGCAUUUGACUUCUAAUCUAAAGGUAGUGGGUUUGAAUCCCACCUGGGAUG